GCCUGGGUGGCUCAGUCGGUUGAGCAUCUGACUUUGGCUUAGGUCAUGAUCUCACAGUUUGUGGGUUUGAGCCCCGCAUCGGGCU
Transfer RNA from Felis catus (domestic cat), 85 nucleotides. It matches the Rfam family "tRNA". From Rfam's summary of the family: Transfer RNA (tRNA) molecules are approximately 80 nucleotides in length. Their secondary structure includes four short double-helical elements and three loops (D, anti-codon, and T loops). The record is from Rfam. NCBI's taxonomy places the organism in Eukaryota, Metazoa, Chordata, Mammalia, Carnivora, Felidae.